This 911-nucleotide ribosomal RNA is filed under the name uncultured Candida. RNAcentral's name for it is "SSU rRNA". It matches the Rfam family "Eukaryotic small subunit ribosomal RNA", at positions 19 to 940 of the family's 1831-position model. The record is from RNAcentral. Lineage: Eukaryota; Fungi; Ascomycota; Saccharomycetes; Saccharomycetales.
UGUAGUCAUAUGCUUGUCUCAAAGAUUAAGCCAUGCAUGUCUAAGUAUAAGCAAUUUAUACAGUGAAACUGCGAAUGGCUCAUUAAAUCAGUUAUCGUUUAUUUGAUAGUACCUUUACUACUUGGAUAACCGUGGUAGUUCUAGAGCUAAUACAUGCUAAAAAUCCCGACUUCUGGAAGGGAUGUAUUUAUUAGAUAAAAAAUCAAUGCUCUUCGGAGCUCUUUGAUGAUUCAUAAUAACUUUUCGAAUCGCAUGGCCUUGUGCUGGCGAUGGUUCAUUCAAAUUUCUGCCCUAUCAACUUUCGAUGGUAGGAUAGUGGCCUACCAUGGUUUCAACGGGUAACGGGGAAUAAGGGUUCGAUUCCGGAGAGGGAGCCUGAGAAACGGCUACCACAUCCAAGGAAGGCAGCAGGCGCGCAAAUUACCCAAUCCCGACACGGGGAGGUAGUGACAAUAAAUAACGAUACAGGGCCCUUUCGGGUCUUGUAAUUGGAAUGAGUACAAUGUAAAUACCUUAACGAGGAACAAUUGGAGGGCAAGUCUGGUGCCAGCAGCCGCGGUAAUUCCAGCUCCAAUAGCGUAUAUUAAAGUUGUUGCAGUUAAAAAGCUCGUAGUUGAACCUUGGGCUUGGUUGGCCGGUCCGCUUUAUGGCGAGUACUGGACCCAACCGAGCCUUUCCUUCUGGCUAACCAUUCGCCCUUGUGGUGUUUGGCGAACCAGGACUUUUACUUUGAAAAAAUUAGAGUGUUCAAAGCAGGCCUUUGCUCGAAUAUAUUAGCAUGGAAUAAUAGAAUAGGACGUUAUGGUUCUAUUUUGUUGGUUUCUAGGACCAUCGUAAUGAUUAAUAGGGACGGUCGGGGGCGUCAGUAUUCAGUUGUCAGAGGUGAAUUCUUGUAUUUACUGAAGACUAGC